CAGUGGUAGCAAUUAGGUCAUGUAUUUUCCUUUUGGAAAGGAAGAACUAUACCUUAUAUAACUUCUAUAUAAUCUGUGGCAUGUAGUAGAUUCUGAGUGCAGAGUUAGCAAUAAAUAAAUGCUCAUGAAAGACUGGUUUGAUAACAUUAGUGUUAGGUCUAUCAAAGCUGAUUUUGAAUAUUCAGAUCUUAGAUUUCGCACAGUAAACUUAGGUAUGUUAGUCUCUCAGCUAUGUCCGACUUUCUGCGACCCCAUGGACUGUAGCCUGCUAGGCUCUUUUGUCUAUGGGAUUCUCCAGGCAAGAAUACUGGAGUGGGUUCCCAUUUCCUUCUCCAGAGGAUCUUCCCCACCCAGGGAUAGAACCCAGGUUUCCUACAUUGUAGGCAGAUUCUUUACCACUGAGCCACCAGGGAAGCACUUAGGUAUAAAUGCAAACCAAUGUGGAUUUUAAAGGGAAGAUUUGUAUCUGAGGGGUAAGACCAGCAAAUGUAGCAGCAAGACUUCUAACACAAUUUACAUACCAUCAUUAUUUAUUCAUGUAGAGAUGAAAGUACCUUCAAAUACUAUGCCUAAUUAUUCCCAACACUUCUGUGUUCACUAUGUUUGAGCAUAAAAGUUGAUUUUACAAACAUAAGAUUUUACUUUGCCUGCACUAGAACCUCAUUUCUUAUUCAUGUUUCAAAAAGAACAAAAAAUACCAAACCUUCCUUUUUGAAAGCCAUUUUUCAAAGAAAUGCUCAUUCAAUGUUUUUGUAAGUUUCUGCAAUCAAAUAGUAAGCUAUGACAUGGUUUCUUGGAAUACAUCUUAUUUUCUGUGUGCUGUAUCAGACAAGAAUUCAAAUAGGUAUUAUAUUGCUGCUGCUGCUUAGAUGCUAAGUCAUGUCUGACUCUGCGAUCCCGUGGACAGUAACCCUCCAGGCUCCUCUGUCCAUGGGAUUUUCCAGGUAAGGAUACUGGAGUGGGUUUCCAUUUCAUUCUCCAGAGGAUCUUCCAGACCCGGUGAUCAAACCUGCGUCUCUUUGUGUCUCCUGCAUUGGUAGGCAGAUUCUUUACCACUGAGACACCUGGGAAGCCCAGGUAUUAUAUUACACCUACCUAAAUUUUACUUUGCUGUUUCAACUACAUAAGAGGGGUUACUUCCAUGAUUUAAUUAACACAGUGUUUAUCGACAACACUUUCUUACACUGAACCAGGGCUGGUUUUUGAUGAGUUCUUCUUAGGGACAUUAUGGAAUGUAAUCAUCAUGAUUGUCUCUUUUAAUUGAAGAUCUAUAGGUGAGGAAUUUUAGUGAUAGCCUUGUUGCUUCUUAAGGCAUGUAGGGGAGGAAAGAUAAUUUUCCCUCAACCCUCCAGGUUCUUGGCUGAGACCCAUAAGCAGCAGUUUAAUAAAAUGUACACCUCCUGUAUACAUGGGAGAUACCCAAGAAAACCAGUAACUCUCUGAAAUUGCCCAGCCACCACCUUAAAUAUCAUCUCCAGUUAAAGACAAAAGAAUGAUGGUGUGGUGUGGUGUGGUAUGGGGGGGUGCAGUUAUGGGAGGUUACCAGGAAAAGCACAGUAAACAAGGGUAUGAUGCUUAUACAGAUUUAAGUCCCUGCCUUCUCCAGUCAUAAGUGUUUCCAGAGAAUUCUUUCUCAUCCGCUUCUUGGUACAGAGAUGAAGACAUCCUUAAAAAUCAAGCUUUCUCUUAUAAAUGUACAUUUCUCUUAGAAAAGGAUAACUACUUGGUUUUCAGAGCUUUCCCUAUGUAUGCUGUUUCUUAUAAAUAACCAGCUCAAGAUAAUCCCUAUGCCUGAGGCAUAUUUGGGGGUGACAAAUUCUCAUGACCUUCAGGGAUCUGUUCUGAACUCUGCCAUUACUUGCAUAUUUCACAAAGUGUGAAUCAUCUUUCUGGUUUCUUUCUGCUUUUUUCUUUUGGGGGGCAGUGGCAGCAUCUGGGAUCUUAGUUCCUGGUUUGGAGGUCAAAUGCAGGCCCCCUUAGCUAAAACGCUGAGUCCUAACCACUGGACUUCCAGGGAAUUCCCUUUUUAAGAUUUUGUACAACUAAAGCCAUUCCUGGCAAUAACUUUUCUUAGACUUCUUUAACCAGAGUGAGUUAGACUUCAGUUUAAAUUUUAGAUUCUCCAGUCAAAUUGUAUAUGAGGACUUUUAAAUUUUAACAAAAAUAAAUCAAGUUGUAAAUGGCUAUUAGCAGGUGAAUAGUCAAUUAAGUUAUACAA
Long non-coding RNA from Bos taurus (domestic cattle), 2218 nucleotides. Lineage: Eukaryota; Metazoa; Chordata; Mammalia; Artiodactyla; Bovidae. The record is from Ensembl.